This 435-nucleotide ribosomal RNA is filed under the name uncultured bacterium. RNAcentral's name for it is "partial 16S ribosomal RNA". It matches the Rfam family "Bacterial small subunit ribosomal RNA", at positions 28 to 507 of the family's 1533-position model. The record is from RNAcentral.
GAUGAACGCUGGCGGUAUGCUUAACACAUGCAAGUCGAACGGACUCUUCGGAGUUAGUGGCGGACGGGUGAGUAACGCGUGAGAAUCUGGCUUUGGGUUCGGGACAACCACUGGAAACGGUGGCUAAUACCGGAUGUGCCGAGAGGAAAAAGAGAAAUUGCCUGAAGAUGAGGUCGCGUCUGAUUAGCUAGUUGGUGAGGUAAAGGCUCACCAAGGCAGCGAUCAGUAGCUGGUCUGAGAGGAUGACCAGCCACACUGGGAAUGGGACACGGCGCAGACUCCUACGGGAGGCAGCAGGGGAGAAUUUUCCGCAAUUGGCGAAAGGCUGACGGAGCAAUACCGCGUGGAGGAAGAAGGCUCUUGGGUUGUAAACCUCUUUUCUUAGGGAAGAACAAAAUGACGGUACCUAAGGAAUCAGCAUCGGCUAACUCCGUG